AGUCUUAUACGACCAGCUCCUGCUGAACUCCCCCAGGUCUGGAAGGAAGCAAGGGUAGGUGGUUGUAGCGGUGCGAUAUAAG
This 82-nucleotide signal recognition particle RNA is filed under the name Salinivirgaceae bacterium. Its description in RNAcentral is "signal recognition particle sRNA small type". It matches the Rfam family "Bacteroidales small SRP", at positions 13 to 93 of the family's 107-position model. From Rfam's summary of the family: The non-coding component of the signal recognition particle in Bacteroides Lineage: Bacteria; Pseudomonadati; Bacteroidota; Bacteroidia; Bacteroidales; Salinivirgaceae. The record is from RNAcentral.